UACGAAGGGGGCUAGCGUUGUUCGGAAUUACUGGGCGUAAAGCGCACGUAGGCGGAUCGAUCAGUUAGGGGUGAAAUCCCGGGGCUCAACCCCGGAACUGCCUCUAAUACUGUCGAUCUCGAGUUCGAGAGAGGUGAGUGGAAUUCCGAGUGUAGAGGUGAAAUUCGUAGAUAUUCGGAGGAACACCAGUGGCGAAGGCGGCUCACUGGCUCGAUACUGACGCUGAGGUGCGAAAGCGUGGGGAGCAAACAGGAUUAGAUACC
Molecule: ribosomal RNA, 263 nt
Filed under: uncultured bacterium
Lineage: Bacteria
Description: partial 16S ribosomal RNA
Rfam family: Bacterial small subunit ribosomal RNA
Source: RNAcentral